UAGUUCCUACGGGGGGCAGCAGUGAGGAAUAUUGGUCAAUGGCCGGAAGGCUGAACCAGCCACGCCGCGUGAAGGACGAAGGUGCCAAGCAUUGUAAACUUUUUUUGUCAAGGGACAAAAUCAGGCUCGAGAGCCUGACCGAGGGUACUUGAAGAAAAAGCAUCGGCUAACUCCGUGCCAGCAGCCGCGGUAAUACGGAGGAUGCUAGCGUUAUCCGGAUUUAUUGGGUUUAAA
RNAcentral lists this ribosomal RNA (234 nucleotides) under uncultured bacterium. RNAcentral describes it as "partial 16S ribosomal RNA". It matches the Rfam family "Bacterial small subunit ribosomal RNA", at positions 333 to 564 of the family's 1533-position model. The record is from RNAcentral.